CCCCGUUUUGACUCGGCGUUGACGCAAGUGAGAGGUUGGCUUUCAUUCAUCUGGAGCAACAACAUGGCGGCAACCUGAUAGCAGCUGCAUAAAAAAUAGCAAACAUCACAUAUUUGUGCAAACAGACACAAAUAAAAAAAAAUACAGAGGAAGACUACAUAACUAACAGGACAUCCAUCGACUUCGAUUCAGUCUGAAUGUCAAGGUUCCCUGGAACAUAAUCCUGAGUUGCCAGUUGAGAAAGGCUAGUGGACUCACUAGAAUAGCUGGCAAGAAAUAUAGGAUUCCGAGCAGUAAUAACGAUACUAAAGACUGAAAGGAUUCAUUUUGGUUUGAGUAUUUAGCUAUUGCAUCUGGACUUAGAUCAAGGCAAACCGAUGGUGCCCUCUCUGAAGUAGAGACCAUGGAUCGCUACCAGGACCUAUGGCCGAAGUACAGGGCUUGGGUUUGAAACGGGACCAUUUACCUCUCCCCCUGCCUGUCACCAUCCCAUAUCAGAUCACAGAUGGAGGUGACAUGGAGCUAAGCAGUGAAAUGUAAUCUCGGCCAGAGAUCCCGCUCUCUGCUCAGUAGCACCUGUCACAGCCUGAACUCUCCACAAAUAUUUUCAUCCUGGACCUUGAACUCAUUGAGUCUUAGCUAACUGCCCUACACCUCUCUGGUAACUGUUACAGCUAGCCUACAGUUUCCCACCAACCAAAACGAACCCCUUCAUGUUUACAGACCUACUCUAUCCCAACGUCAACAGAUUCUCUCAAUGCCCAGACCUGGCUACACCUCCUCCCAUGUCCCUUAAUUUUUUCUAAUUGAACUGUAUCCCUGAGCCACCACUACACACUGCCAGGCCAAAGGCUUGGUGCAGUUGCAUUGGACUGUCUAGAGCACACUGCACUGACUAAGCUCUAACUAAGUUGAUUUAAACAUGAGUGACGGGGAGCUGCAGCACCUGGACUAUCUGACUGAGAAUGAGCUGAUGGGCAUGGACACGUUCAUUCACCGCAUCGACUCAACCGAGGUGAUCUACCAGCCACGCAGGAAGAGGGCCAAGCUGAUUGGGAAGUACCUGAUGGGAGACCUGCUGGGGGAGGGCUCCUACGGAAAGGUGAAGGAGAUGCUGGACUCUGACACGCUGUGUCGCAGGGCUGUCAAGAUCCUCAAGAAGAAGAAGCUGAGGCGGAUCCCCAACGGAGAGGCUAAUGUGAAGAAGGAGAUCCAGCUGCUACGGAGACUCCAGCACAAAAAUGUGAUCCAUUUGGUGGAUGUGUUGUACAAUGAAGAGAAGCAGAAAAUGUAUAUGGUGAUGGAGUACUGCGUAUGUGGGAUGCAAGAAAUGCUGGACAGCGUCCCAGAGAAAAGAUUUCCAGUAUUUCAAGCUCACGGGUACUUUUUACAGCUGUUAGAUGGCCUUGAAUAUUUGCACAGCCAGGGAAUCGUUCACAAGGACAUUAAACCAGGAAAUCUGCUUCUGACUACCGACGGGGCACUCAAGAUCUCCGACCUGGGCGUGGCAGAGGCUUUGCACCCGUUUGCAGAGGAUGACACGUGUCGUACGAGUCAGGGCUCGCCGGCGUUCCAGCCCCCCGAGAUCGCCAAUGGCCUGGACACCUUUUCAGGGUUCAAAGUGGACAUCUGGUCCGCAGGCAUCACACUAUACAACAUUACGACGAGUCUUUAUCCGUUUGAAGGGGACAACAUCUAUAAGCUAUUUGAGAACAUUGGGAAGGGAGACUACAGUGUUCCAGAAGAGUGCGGGCCUGCCCUGUCAGACCUACUGCAAGCUCCUUUGUCUUCUCCAGGAAUGCUUGAAUAUGAUCCCGUCAAGAGGUUUUCAAUACAGCACAUAAGGCAACACAACUGGGUGCGUAAAAAACACCCGCCAACAGAACCACCGGUGCCGAUCCCUGCCAGCGCGGAGAGCCGGGACGUGUGGCGCAGCAUGACGGUGGUGCCCUACCUGGAGGACCUGCAUGGGUACACGGAGGAGGAGGACGACGAGCUCUACGACCAGGAGGACACAAUCAUCUACACUCAGGACUUCACUGUGUCAGGCCAGGUGCCAGAGGAGGACUUAGACGAGGGUGAGGUGGAUCGGAACCGGGCCCAGGCCAAGCCUGUUUGUGUGAAUGGAACAGAGAGCAAGGCCAAGCCAGAGUGCAGGUCCUCGUCCUCAUCCAACCCCUCCCGCAAAGGAGUAUCCACAGCCAGCAAGAUACGCAAGCUCUCCAACUGCAAACAGCAAUGACUGCACCUCAACAACCCACCUGGUGAGAAGGGUAUGUCAUUCUGGAUGUGGUUCAUCUUUUCCCGUCCUUCUGUUUUUGGAGUGCUUGGCCAUUGCCAAGAGAAGCCUGCUGAUGUGGUGUCCCACGUUUCCUCCUGAACCAUUCGGCUACAAACUCUUCUUCAAGGAUGCCAUGCGCUUGACAGAGAGCGGGAAAGGGGGAGAAGGAGAGAAAUGGAGACUGCUCAGACUACCCUCGAGGGUCUUGGUGUGAAGUGCUUGUGUUUCCCUUCACUCCCUCUGUUGUCUGGUUGUCCCAAAGGAGGCGUGGCCUGGCCGUGUGAGACCCACCUUUUCUGAGUCCUGCCCCAGUUUGUUUUAGUUUAUAGACCAUCUUUUAUUUUACAGAACUUAACUGCAGUUUUUAAAGAUGCACAUUGUGAUGUGUAAAAAGAAUGCCGUUGAUAAAGAACACAUAUAUUUAAACUAUGAUGACGAUGAUGGUAGUGCUACCCAUGUAAAACUGCAUGCUGUACGGAGCUUUGAGUAAGGAAAACUACUUGGUUAAGGACAGACAAAUGGACUAAAACCUUGACAGCCACCGCUGAUGGUGAGUUGGGGGGGAUGUUGUGUUUUGUUUCCAUUAGUUUUUGUUUUGAUUUUUUUCCAAUAAAUAUUUUGUAAUUAUUUAUGUAAAACAUGUCCCAACCAAACCCUAUUUGUUUUCUGGCUCCCAUUUUUUUCUUUUCUGACGGUGCACGGUCAUUAUACUGCAGGGUUUUAUUUAUAGAUAUGUAUAUAUAUGAAUAAACCUUGUGGUUUUAUUUCACACCAACACGAUGUUAGUGGGAACACUACAUUUCCAUGGAGGGGGAAGGGAGAUCGAGGGCGAUUUGAAACUUUAAAACUGAAGAGGGGAUCAGAAAAUGUCAAAUGGGAUUCUUCAGACCACGGAAAAACUGGAGUAAUAUGUUGUCGGGCAUCUGUGUGUUAAAAGAUGCACUGCUAGCCUUUUUUUCCUUGUUCCCUGAUCACAUCCCUGGAAACUUCUCUUUCACCUCCAUCUUUCCAUUUCUCCCUUGCUCUCUGGUCUGACUCACCUGCACUUUCCUCUCCUGUCUUUCUCCCUCUUUUUCCCUCUCUCUUCUGACUUACCUGCUAUCUCCUUUGCCCUCCAUCCCCCUCUCUCCAUCCCUCAAACUCAUCUGCUCUCUCUCUUUUGCGCCCCCUCUCCUCCCUCCCUGUGCUCACCUGCUCUGUAAUCUAUUCUUAGUGCUGGCCUGAUGGGGGCAGCUAAUUGCGUAAGAUGGAGAGAGAUAAACACUGCCUACGUCAGCCCAGCACUGAGAGAAUCUCUGGCAGAGCCCAGACCAGGCAAAACUCAGUGGGGAAACCUCUGCAAUAUACCUUUUGAUUAAUAAAGAAUUCCUGCUUUUCUGA
Molecule: RNA transcript, 3661 nt
Organism: Oncorhynchus keta (chum salmon)
Lineage: Eukaryota; Metazoa; Chordata; Actinopteri; Salmoniformes; Salmonidae
Gene name: serine/threonine-protein kinase STK11-like
Exons: 11
Source: RefSeq, a predicted model, not a curated record